UGCUUGCACAUCGCUGACGAGUGGCGGACGGGUGAGUAAUGCUUGGGAACUUGCCUUUGCAAGGGGGAUACAGUUGGAAACGACUGCUAAUACCGCAUAAUGUCUACGGACCAAACGGGGCUUUUAGCUCCGGCGCAAAGAGAGGCCCAAGUGAGAUUAGCUAGUUGGUAAGGUAACGGCUUACCAAGGCGACGAUCUCUAGCUGUUCUGAGAGGAAGAUCAGCCACACUGGGACUGAGACACGGCCCAGACUCCUACGGGAGGCAGCAGUGGGGAAUAUUGCACAAUGGGGGAAACCCUGAUGCAGCCAUGCCGCGUGUGUGAAGAAGGCCUUCGGGUUGUAAAGCACUUUCAGUUGUGAGGAAAAGUUAGUAGUUAAUACCUGCUAGCCGUGACGUUAACAACAGAAGAAGCACCGGCUAACUCCGUGCCAGCAGCCGCGGUAAUACGGAGGGUGCGAGCGUUAAUCGGAAUUACUGGGCGUAAAGCGCACGCAGGCGGUUUGUUAAGCUAGAUGUGAAAGCCCCGGGCUCAACCUGGGAUGGUCAUUUAGAACUGGCAGACUAGAGUCUUGGAGAGGGGAGUGGAAUUCCAGGUGUAGCGGUGAAAUGCGUAGAUAUCUGGAGGAACAUCAGUGGCGAAGGCGACUCCCUGGCCAAAGACUGACGCUCAUGUGCGAAAGUGUGGGUAGCGAACAGGAUUAGAUACCCUG
Molecule: ribosomal RNA, 712 nt
Filed under: uncultured bacterium
Lineage: Bacteria
Description: bacterial SSU rRNA
Rfam family: Bacterial small subunit ribosomal RNA
Source: RNAcentral